CACCCACCUGUAGCUCAUCAGCAAGUUUGGGCUGGUAUAAAUUGGCUCCCAAACCAGUACUCAGUGCAAGUUUGUGUAAUAACCACCUGCAGCAAGCACGUGUAGACACCAAGUGAAGUUUUCGCUUCCUCUGUGGACAUUUCCCCCUCUCCGAGGAUUCUUUGUGCUCCCCCUUGAAUGUUAAGUGACACGACAUCAGUCGACAAGGCUGAGUGGCCACCUGGAGGCUGUCCUCCUCUGAGAAACAAAGGAACAACUGCUCCCAUAUUAGUGCUUUGCCAGGAGGAGGCCAUUGUGCUGAAUAAUGCAUGGGCCUUCGCACAGCUUUGCCGUAUGAAUUAUGGACACAUCCAGCUGAGACACGAACUUGCUCUGACUAGCUGCAGAUGAGAAUAGCGAAUGAGGCGGGGGUGGGGGGGGAGUAAUUCCCAGCUGACUGCCUCACCUUUAUUGGAUUUGAUGCACGACAGGAGGCUGAGAUGUCUUGGCCACUUCCGUGUGAUGCGUUAAAUGUCUAUGAAACCUAAAGGGAGGCAAGUCUCCCUGAGGAAAGGGACUUUUUCUCUUAUGACGCAACAGUGAGUGGAUGUGUGAGUGUUUGUUCUCUCAAAUGGACAUAAUUGUCUUUUUUUUUUUUUUUGCAUUGCAUUCUGUAGCCUUAAGUGUCUUCAGUGAUGAUGACCUCGCUGAUUCAAGGAUAUUUGCUGCUGACUGCUGUUGGAUAUCAUUUUUGUAAUGUGCAUUGCUGCCAUCUACAGAGCAGUGGAGUUGAAGAUUAACGCCGACCAACAUAAUUUUUUUUUCAGUCAAACAAGUCAUACAAACACAGCUCAGUGGAAUGGUGGUUAGCACAUCUGGCUCGCGGUUUUAAGAUUGUUGUCUCAAAAUUUGACUCUAAAUUGUUGAUCGGCGUGAAUACUUGUUUUGUCUGUGCCUUGGCUUGCGAUGAGUCACUCAACUGUACCUCGCCUCUCGCCCAUUGUCAGCUGCAAUCGGCACCAGCUCACCGGAGGCCCAAACGAGGAAAAGUAGUUUCCAAAAUGGAUGGAUAGACUCAGACAUCAAACUUUAAAACAAACCUCAUGUCUUAUUGUUUUCUUUUAAGCCAAACACAUUGCUCUUGAAAUUACAACUUGUUGUGCUCAACAUCUGCCCACCCUGACAAAGACAACUCCAAUUCAUGAAUUGCACAUGCGUACUUGCACAACACACACACACACACACACACACACACACACACAAAAGCCCAGAGCUUGUCAAGUUGUUUCCUUUCUUCUUGUUGCUGUCUGCUGUUUGAAAGCCUAUUUAGGAAUCCGACGGUGUCUAAUAUCUGAGAGGUGGGUGCUUGUGUUCAAGGCUGUGACACUGGGGUGCGCUUUAGGGCAAAGAGGACUGAAGCGGAGCGUCACCUUGAAGAUGUGCAGGGAAGGAACAGAUCUAUCAGGGGAGAUGCUCGGGCAUCUCACCCCCUCUGGAGAAUGUGCGUGUUGUCAAAGGCGAGCUGGUGGGGGAACAUCCUUCUGACAACUUAUUAUCAUAUUCAUAGAAAAAAAGAAGUAACAGCACAACAAAACAAAACUGCACAGGAGCUCCCUGCAGCUUUAAGGACAUACAGCAUUGGCCCCUUUCCAUUCCACACUCAACUAUGCAAAUCGCACACUGCGUUUGCCUUGCCUGAAAAAGCAACUCUAUUAUUAUUAACAGCAUAAAAGAAAAGUCUGACUGGGGGUUAUUUUA
This is a long non-coding RNA of Hippocampus comes (tiger tail seahorse), 1737 nucleotides long. RefSeq lists it as uncharacterized. The record is from RefSeq and is a predicted model, not a curated record. The transcript has 3 exons. NCBI's taxonomy places the organism in Eukaryota, Metazoa, Chordata, Actinopteri, Syngnathiformes, Syngnathidae.